AAGCAUAAAAAUAACCUAAAAGC
RNAcentral lists this small nuclear RNA (23 nucleotides) under Arabidopsis thaliana (thale cress). RNAcentral describes it as "snRNA_15508". The record is from RNAcentral. Lineage: Eukaryota; Viridiplantae; Streptophyta; Magnoliopsida; Brassicales; Brassicaceae.